GCCAGGUGUGGUGGUGCACACCUGUAAUCCCAGCCGCUCGGGAGGCUGAGGCAGGUGGAUUGUGAGUUCAAAGCCAGCCUCAGCAACAAUGAGGCUCUAAGCAACUCAGUAAGAUCCUGUCUCUA
This 125-nucleotide small RNA is filed under the name Marmota monax (woodchuck). Lineage: Eukaryota; Metazoa; Chordata; Mammalia; Rodentia; Sciuridae. The record is from RNAcentral.